GACGCAGUAGGAUAGGCGAAGCGUGCUGUUGGAGUGCACGUCCAAGCAGUGAGAUUGAGUGUUAGGCAAAUCCGGCACUCUUAAGAUUGAGCUGUGAUGGGGAGAGGAACUUGUUCCUCGAGUCGUUGAUUUCACACUGCCGAGAAAAGCCUCUAGCUAGAAUAACGGUGCCCGUACCGCAAACCGACACAGGUAGUCAAGAUGAGAAUUCUAAGGUGAGCGAGCGAACUCUCGUUAAGGAACUCGGCAAAAUGACCCCGUAACUUCGGGAGAAGGGGUGCUCUUUGAGGUUCACGCUUCGAAGAGCCGCAGUGAAUAGGCCCAAGCGACUGUUUAUCAAAAACACAGGUCUCUGCUAAACCGUAAGGUGACGUAUAGGGGCUGACGCCUGCCCGGUGCUGGAA
Molecule: ribosomal RNA, 404 nt
Filed under: Staphylococcus pseudintermedius
Lineage: Bacteria; Bacillati; Bacillota; Bacilli; Caryophanales; Staphylococcaceae
Description: partial 23S ribosomal RNA
Rfam family: Bacterial large subunit ribosomal RNA
Source: RNAcentral